This 891-nucleotide ribosomal RNA is filed under the name uncultured bacterium. Its description in RNAcentral is "bacterial SSU rRNA". It matches the Rfam family "Bacterial small subunit ribosomal RNA", at positions 28 to 896 of the family's 1533-position model. The record is from RNAcentral.
AACGAACGCUGGCGGCGUGCCUAACACAUGCAAGUCGAGCGAGAAAGCCCGCAAGGGUGAGUACAGCGGCGCACGGGUGCGUAACACGUGAGUAAUCUGCCCUGGAGCCCGGAAUAACCUCCCGAAAGGGAAGCUAAUGCCGGAUGAGCCCACGGGGUCCUUGGACUCUGAGGGAAAAGGCGGCCUCUGUAUACAAGCUGUCACUUCAGGAUGAGCUCGCGGCCCAUCAGCUAGUUGGCGGGGUAAUGGCCCACCAAGGCUACGACGGGUAGCUGGUCUGAGAGGACGAUCAGCCACACUGGAACUGAGACACGGUCCAGACUCCUACGGGAGGCAGCAGUGGGGAAUCUUGCGCAAUGGGCGAAAGCCUGACGCAGCAACGCCGCGUGUGUGAUGAAGGUCUUCGGAUCGUAAAGCACUGUCGCGAGGGACGAAUAAGGGCCGGGUGAACAAUCCGGUCUGAUGACGGUACCUCGAGAGGAAGCACCGGCUAACUCUGUGCCAGCAGCCGCGGUAAUACAGAGGGUGCAAGCGUUGUUCGGAAUUAUUGGGCGUAAAGCGCGUGUAGGCGGCCUGGCAAGUUGGGUGUGAAAGCCCUCGGCUUAACCGAGGAAGUGCGCCCAAAACUACGAGGCUUGAGUACCGGAGAGGGUGGCGGAAUUCCCGGUGUAGAGGUGAAAUUCGUAGAUAUCGGGAGGAACACCAGUGGCGAAGGCGGCCACCUGGACGGAUACUGACGCUGAGACGCGAAAGCGUGGGGAGCAAACAGGAUUAGAUACCCUGGUAGUCCACGCCGUAAACGAUGAGCGCUAGGUGUUGUGGGUGUUGACCCCUGCAGUGCCGCAGCUAACGCAUUAAGCGCUCCGCCUGGGAAGUACGGCCGCAAGGCUA